RNAcentral lists this long non-coding RNA (529 nucleotides) under Oryza sativa Indica Group (long-grained rice). Its description in RNAcentral is "lncRNA OsPr106_05g0010850". The record is from RNAcentral. Lineage: Eukaryota; Viridiplantae; Streptophyta; Magnoliopsida; Poales; Poaceae.
UCUCCUCUCCCAGUCGCCUCCCUCUCCUCUCCUCCCAUACACGGCCGUCUCCCUCUCCUCUCCUCUCUAGUCUUCUCAGAGGCGGUGAAAGGGUGCCUGCAGUGGUAACGGCGACGGCGGCACGGAAGCUGAUCCGGCAACGAGGUGCAGCGACGAAGCUCGUGGUGCGGCGACAACGUGAGCUGCGGCGACUCGGGCCAUGGGCGGCGGAUCUGGCGGCCCGGGGAGUCGCAGGAGGCGGUGGGCGGUGGAUCUGGCGGCGGGGAGCGGCGUGGUGGGUCCCAUGGCGGGGAGGGGUGCGGGCGGCGGCGAAGAGUGGCGGUCGCGGUGGAUCCAGCAGCGGCUGCCACACGACGACGACGGCCGGGCCUCGAAGGUUCCAGCGGCUUCCUCUAACCCCCUCCCCUCUCCCAGAUCCAAUGGGUGGCGGUGGUGCUCGGCCGGUGCUCGAUCUGGCGGCAGCGACUCCGGCGGCACCCAUAUGUUUGAUAAUACAGGCAGAGUAAAAAUUAAAAUAAUUCAAAAGUAA